GUUGAUCUGUGGAUCGUGGCGAACGGGUGAGUAACACGUGAGCAACCUGCCCCGGACUCUGGGAUAAGCGCUGGAAACGGCGUCUAAUACUGGAUACGAGCUGCGACCGCAUGGUCAGCAGUUGGAAAGAUUUUUCGGUCUGGGAUGGGCUCACGGCCUAUCAGCUUGUUGGUGAGGUAAUGGCUCACCAAGGCGUCGACGGGUAGCCGGCCUGAGAGGGUGACCGGCCACACUGGGACUGAGACACGGCCCAGACUCCUACGGGAGGCAGCAGUGGGGAAUAUUGCACAAUGGGCGAAAGCCUGAUGCAGCAACGCCGCGUGAGGGAUGACGGCCUUCGGGUUGUAAACCUCUUUUAGCAGGGAAGAAGCGAGAGUGACGGUACCUGCAGAAAAAGCGCCGGCUAACUACGUGCCAGCAGCCGCGGUAAUACGUAGGGCGCAAGCGUUAUCCGGAAUUAUUGGGCGUAAAGAGCUCGUAGGCGGUUUGUCGCGUCUGCUGUGAAAUCCCGAGGCUCAACCUCGGGCCUGCAGUGGGUACGGGCAGACUAGAGUGCGGUAGGGGAGAUUGGAAUUCCUGGUGUAGCGGUGGAAUGCGCAGAUAUCAGGAGGAACACCGAUGGCGAAGGCAGAUCUCUGGGCCGUAACUGACGCUGAGGAGCGAAAGGGUGGGGAGCAAACAGGCUUAGAUACCCUGGUAGUCCACCCCGUAAACGUUGGGAACUAGUUGUGGGGUCCAUUCCACGGAUUCCGUGACGCAGCUAACGCAUUAAGUUCCCCGCCUGGGGGAGUACGGC
RNAcentral lists this ribosomal RNA (796 nucleotides) under Microbacterium sp. Its description in RNAcentral is "bacterial SSU rRNA". It matches the Rfam family "Bacterial small subunit ribosomal RNA", at positions 79 to 886 of the family's 1533-position model. Lineage: Bacteria; Bacillati; Actinomycetota; Actinomycetes; Micrococcales; Microbacteriaceae. The record is from RNAcentral.